RNAcentral lists this unclassified non-coding RNA (199 nucleotides) under uncultured Sistotrema. Its description in RNAcentral is "sequence contains ITS2". Lineage: Eukaryota; Fungi; Basidiomycota; Agaricomycetes; Corticiales; Corticiaceae. The record is from RNAcentral.
GACACUCGAACAGGCGUACUCUCCGGAAUACCAGAGAGUGCAAGGUGCGUUCAAAGAUUCGAUGAUUCACUGAAUUCUGCAAUUCACAUUACUUAUCGCAUUUCGCUGCGUUCUUCAUCGAUGCGAGAGCCAAGAGAUCCGUUGUUAAAAGUUGUAUUAAACAUUGCCUGUCGGCAGAAACAUCCAUUACAUCGAAUAA